CCUACGGGGGGCAGCAGUGAGGAAUAUUGGUCAAUGGACGAGAGUCUGAACCAGCCAAGUAGCGUGAAGGAUGACUGCCCUAUGGGUUGUAAACUUCUUUUAUAUGGGAAUAAAAUGUUCCACGUGUGGGAUUUUGUAUGUACCAUAUGAAUAAGGAUCGGCUAACUCCGUGCCAGCAGCCGCGGUAAUACGGAGGAUCCGAGCGUUCUCCGGAUUUAUUGGGUUUAAAGGGAGCGUAGGUGGAUGGUUAAGUCAGUUGUGAAAGUCUGCGGCUCAACCGUAAAAUUGCAGUUGAAACUGGCAGUCUUGAGUACAUGAGAGGUGGGCGGAAUUCGUGGUGUAGCGGUGAAAUGCUUAGAUAUCACGAAGAACUCCGAUUGCGAAGGCAGUUCACUGGACUGCAACUGACACUGAGGCUCGAAAGUGUGGGUAUCAAACAGGAUUAGAUACCCGGGUAGUC
Molecule: ribosomal RNA, 460 nt
Filed under: uncultured bacterium
Lineage: Bacteria
Description: partial 16S ribosomal RNA
Rfam family: Bacterial small subunit ribosomal RNA
Source: RNAcentral